This 521-nucleotide long non-coding RNA is filed under the name Medicago truncatula (barrel medic). Its description in RNAcentral is "lncRNA gene49768". The record is from RNAcentral. Lineage: Eukaryota; Viridiplantae; Streptophyta; Magnoliopsida; Fabales; Fabaceae.
UACUCAAGUCUCCAAAAUGACCGGCACUACGCAGAAUAUCUGAUCUACACUCCUUAUGCAUAUCAUCGGUCAAAAAGUGAAUGAGAAAAUCGCAAAGAAAGUUCUAUGUAGAAAUGGAAUUGACCUAAUCUCCAACUAAGCUCAAAAUUUGUGUGAUAGUGAUCUUGAUAGGCCGCCCCUGUCUAGUCUAAAUCAUUUCAAUUAUCUCGCUUUACCCUCCGACGUGGAGCCUUCGAUGUUUCCUCCUCUUUGUUUUCUUCAUUCUCUCCACUGUCUUGGUUAGUGGAAGUUUCUGCGGCAGGUGUGUUUGUUUUCUCCACUCUUGCCUGCACAAGAGACAUCCAGUGAUUAACAUAUAGGAAACGAUAACAGAGUUUUUUAGGUUACAGAGAAUUUCUACUUACUGGCUUUUUCUUCCCACCAAAUACAAUACGAAGGAAAAUUGUCAAGACAAUAACCACAACGGCUACAAGAAUUCCAACUGUGAGAUUCGGCUGCGUUUCACCCUUUUCAAUGAGAUC